GACGAACGCUGGCGGCGUGCUUAACACAUGCAAGUCGAACGGAAAGGCCCUGCUUUUGUGGGGUGCUCGAGUGGCGAACGGGUGAGUAACACGUGAGUAACCUGCCCUUGACUUUGGGAUAACUUCAGGAAACUGGGGCUAAUACCGGAUAGGAGCUCCUGCUGCAUGGUGGGGGUUGGAAAGUUUCGGCGGUUGGGGAUGGACUCGCGGCUUAUCAGCUUGUUGGUGGGGUAGUGGCUUACCAAGGCUUUGACGGGUAGCCGGCCUGAGAGGGUGACCGGCCACAUUGGGACUGAGAUACGGCCAAGACUCCUACGGGAGGCAGCAGUGGGGAAUAUGGCACAAUGGGCGGAAGCCUGAUGCAGCAACGCCGCGUGGGGGAUGACGGCCUUCGGGUUGUAAACCGCUUCCGCCGGUGACGAAGCGGGAGGGAGGGUAAUGGGUAAAGAAGCACCGGCUAACUACGUG
This 468-nucleotide ribosomal RNA is filed under the name uncultured bacterium. Its description in RNAcentral is "partial 16S ribosomal RNA". It matches the Rfam family "Bacterial small subunit ribosomal RNA", at positions 28 to 507 of the family's 1533-position model. The record is from RNAcentral.